GCGGCGUGCUUCAUACAUGCAAGUCGAACGAGAAGCAGGAGCUUGCUCCUGUGGAAAGUGGCGGACGGGUGAGUAACACGUAGGAAAUCUGCCUUUGGGUGGGGGACAACAGUUGGAAACGACUGCUAAUACCCCAUAUGAGCUUGGUUGCAAUACCAAUCUUGAAAACUCCGGUGCCUAAAGAUGAGCCUGCGUCUGAUUAGCUUGUUGGCGGGGUAAUGGCCCACCAAGGCGACGAUCAGUAGCUGGUUUGAGAGGAUGAUUAGCCAAAAUGGGACUGAGACACGGCCCAUACUCCUACGGGAGGCAGCAGUAGGGAAUUUUGCGCAACGGGGGAAACCCUGACGCAGCAACGCCGCGUGAAUGACGAAGCCCUUCGGGGUGUAAAGUUCUGUCAGUAGGGAAGAAUUUUGACUGUACCUACAAAGGAAGCACCGGCUAACUCCGUGCCAGCCGCCGCAGUAA
RNAcentral lists this ribosomal RNA (465 nucleotides) under uncultured bacterium. Its description in RNAcentral is "partial 16S ribosomal RNA". It matches the Rfam family "Bacterial small subunit ribosomal RNA", at positions 39 to 523 of the family's 1533-position model. The record is from RNAcentral.